ACGAACGCUGGCGGCGUGCUUAACACAUGCAAGUCGAACGGAAAGGCCCUGCUUGCAGGGUACUCGAGUGGCGAACGGGUGAGUAACACGUGGGUGAUCUGCCCUGCACUUCGGGAUAAGCCUGGGAAACUGGGUCUAAUACCGGAUAGGAGCCAUUUUUAGUGUGAUGGUUGGAAAGUUUUUUCGGUGUAGGAUGAGCUCGCGGCCUAUCAGCUUGUUGGUGGGGUAAUGGCCUACCAAGGCGGCGACGGGUAGCCGGCCUGAGAGGGUGGACGGCCACAUUGGGACCGAGAUACGGCCCAGACUCCUACGGGAGGCAGCAGUGGGGAAUAUUGCACAAUGGGCGCAAGCCUGAUGCAGCGACGCCGCGUGGGGGAUGACGGCCUUCGGGUUGUAAACUCCUUUCGCUAGGGACGAAGCUUUUUGUGACGGUACCUAGAUAAGAAGCACCGGCUAACUACGUG
This 464-nucleotide ribosomal RNA is filed under the name uncultured bacterium. RNAcentral's name for it is "partial 16S ribosomal RNA". It matches the Rfam family "Bacterial small subunit ribosomal RNA", at positions 29 to 507 of the family's 1533-position model. The record is from RNAcentral.